Lycium barbarum (goji berry) is the source of this 1811-nucleotide long non-coding RNA. RefSeq lists it as uncharacterized. The transcript has 3 exons. The record is from RefSeq and is a predicted model, not a curated record. Lineage: Eukaryota; Viridiplantae; Streptophyta; Magnoliopsida; Solanales; Solanaceae.
GGGCAACACGGUAACUAUAUAGUCAGAAAAGUAAAAGAAUUCUCGCUAGGUCGGGGUGGGACCCGCUACGAGAACGUUUUGAAAAGCUGUCAAGACCCCGACUUGUCUUAAAUUACGUGACAAAGGACGUGCAGGGCAAUUGGUGUAAUUAUAACGGCCUUAACGUGCCUAAAUGCAUUAAAGUUGUAAGGUUAAGCGUGCUAGGGCCAGAGCAAUUCUGGGAUGGGUGACCCCCUGGGAAGUAAACUAAAAUUUUCACAAGUAUAGGAAUAAGGGACGAAUGGGAAAUUUGAGGUAACUUAAAGGAAAUUAGGAUAUGCGGAGUGAUUAGAAACACUCAAGAAGUCGGGUAGACUAAGACAAGAUAAGCUGGUGAGGAAGAAGAUAGCGCAAUGCAGCUUGGGAAUGAGAGUAAGUUUGAAUAAGCGUUUGAGAAUUGUUUUGUAAGCAAAAUGGUAGUAAAUGUGUAUUUGUACACAUGACACCCCAUUCAUGAUUGUACCGACCGACAGGUGGACCUCAGCAGCCAGUGUCGUGAGGUAUGAAAGACAUUAACCGAACAGAAUUUGAGAGACAAAGCGAAAGACAUGGUACAGAUAUUAUAAGUAAACUGACACUAGUUCCGUCGCCAGCUAAGGCCGGGACGUUCCAGCACAACGAUGUUCGGAAAUAGAAAAAAAAAAAAAGGGGCGAGUACGUAAAAGGGGGACAGUAAUAGUAACGUUUGGGAAAUUUUGAAGGAAAGAAAGAGACCUCUCCGACGUAUUAUAAUACCCCAUAAGGCUAGUUGAACAUUCGAGGACGAAUGUUCUAAAGGGGGGGAGGAUGUUACAUCCCGUAUUUUUGAACGUCGGAUUAAUUAUAAGUUGAGGUGGGGCCCACACGUCAAGAUUUUUUUUGGGACAUGUGACAAAUUAUAUGAAUCACAUAUGUGAAGUUAAACACAACUCAAGAAGGACCCUUGGGCCAAAUCAAAGUGGAAGUCCUCCAAACGAAUAUUUUUAAGAAAACGUUUUCGGGUGACCUGACUUUGGGGGGCAAAAACGGUAUUAUAAGUUUGGAAUUUGGAAAAAUACCAAGAAAUAAAAGUUGUAGAUAAUUGAAUUAUCUUUCCAACCAUAGGUCGUGGGUUCCCAGGUGACGUCGGGACAAGGAGAUAUGGACGUUUUAAUGCAGAAAGGUUAGUGGGCUAGGCCCAAUCCGAGCCCAACCGGGUUAGGCCCAUUACCCAAGUUUUUAUAAGUGAAAAUUUCGGCCUUCCUCCUCAUUUUAAGACCUGUAACAACCAGAAAAUUCUGGAAAGAGAGAGAGAGAGGAGCUUUGGAGAGAAGAAAAACUAAUUUUGACCAAAAUCCGAGCCCCGAAUCCCGAAGCCCAUGAAGGGAAAAGUGUUGUACGCUGCGUUGUCUUCAAUUUGAGCUAAAAAUCAACCAAGGAGGAGGGUGAUAACGUGGUGGCUGAAUUCUUAAGAUUUUGGGCGAAACGGGAAUUGAAUUUGGAAAGGCGUAAAGAGCAUACAAGGUACAAACGACAGGUUUGCUGAUCCGCCCGCUUAGGACUUUAUUCUGCUAUUUUGGAGCGCUCCUUUAUCCGGAGCCCAUAUUUUGGUACAGUCUUCUGCUAUCGUAUAUAUGUACAUUAUUCAGGGGUACGACGGGGCCCUGUCCCGUCUUAUGAUUCUGUUAUGUUCUGUAGAGGUCUGUAGACAUACUUGUGUGGGUUCUGUAUAUGUUUUGGAUGAUAUGAUCUGUGACAGCCUUAUCGGCUUCCAUGUACUAUGUCGGUUCAUUUAUGAUAAUUACUAACGCCAA